Molecule: long non-coding RNA, 961 nt
Filed under: Cricetulus griseus (Chinese hamster)
Lineage: Eukaryota; Metazoa; Chordata; Mammalia; Rodentia; Cricetidae
Description: lncRNA (ENSCGRG00015038679.1)
Source: RNAcentral
AAAACACAUCCCCAAUCCAUCCUUCACACGCCCUAUAAGGGUUUUUCAGGAAAUUUCAGGUCCUCCUCAAACUAAGUGCAUCUGCGCCACCUGCUGGUCAAACUUGGUUACUGCAUCUGGAGUUAAUGCUACUGGCUCAAGGAUCGCUUGGAGGACGAGGAGAUGGAAUGCGCUCCAUCUGAGGCACCUACUCCACACAGGCCUCGAUCCAAGUCAGCACUUCCUGCUCACAAGGAUAGUCAGCACCCUGAGAGUGGACAAUCCCUGCUCUUCAAGCGCUCUGUAGGCCCUAGCCUGAGGACAACUGUGGGGCUGUUCAUCUGAAUUUGGGAUUUGAGCCUUUUGUCACAGUCAUGGUCACGUUCUUGUGCUCACUUCCUUUGCUUUUUUUCAUGCAAAACUGUUUUAUUAGAAUCUGUAGAAUGGUGGGGGAAAUAAUAUCCCGCUUAAAUCACUCUCAAAACCAGAGAGGGAUCACAACUGAAUAGUGAGAACACUGUAUGCUCAACACAAGUUCAUUCUUCCAUCAACAUUAUUGUUCAAAAAGAAAUGUAUGUGAAUAUGGUAUAAAUCUUCAAGUCACACAAGGAAAAGACAGACCUGGAACACACCUCAUCCAGUCCAUUAUGCUCUGUGUACUAUCCUGACUUUAGAUCCUUCCCUGUGUCUAUGGUCUUUCAUACCCUGAUUGUGCUGGGAUACAAUCCCUACCAUUUUCCAAUCUUUUCCUGACCAUGGUUGGGCCUUCACUGUUGGCCCUCAGCUGAUAAGGAGCCCCUGAUUCUCCAGGGACACACCUCUCUCUUGUCUGAAUCAAUGAAACAUUGUUUUUAAAUAAAUCCAAAUCCCCUUGAACAGUCAUUCUGUGUCUCUAAUGCAUCACUUGAGUCCUGGCCUUCAUUUCUCAGAGCCCAACAGUAAUCUGUCAUUUAUACCCAAUAGGAACAUAGUGAGAACUCCA